This 25266-nucleotide long non-coding RNA is filed under the name Phoenix dactylifera (date palm). RNAcentral describes it as "long non-coding RNA (PDAC_LNC002588)". Lineage: Eukaryota; Viridiplantae; Streptophyta; Magnoliopsida; Arecales; Arecaceae. The record is from RNAcentral.
UAAAUCAUUCUUGAAUGUAUGUUUAAAGCCUAAUUUGGUAUAGUUCUGACGCUUUCUUGUGUGAACCAUAAAAUUCUGUUAGUUUACUAUAUUACAUAAACAUGUGAUAAAACAACGUAGUAUGAUACCAUAGUUUUGUUGUUCAUAUACUUUGAUAUUAGUUGCUUGGAAAUAAUACUCCUGGGUCUUUUACAUUGAUAUGACUUAUCAUAUUGCAGCAUUUGAGUUCCUUAUCUACAGUGAUAUGACUUAUCAUAUUGCAGUAUUUGAGUUUCUUAUCUAGAACCUUGUUAAUUCUUGCACGUUUAUUUAAGUGAUUUUUGGUUUCACUUUAAUCACCUAAAGUUGGUCUUAAAUUAUCGAUAACAUUUUUAUGAACUGGAUUGUUUUUCCAAUGAUUUUCUAUUCCAUGGUUGCAUUUAUACACGAUCCACUAACUAUUGUCAUCUAGGGUUGAUGUGCUUAGGUUGAAUCAAGGUAUGUUGAGCUGGGUCUGAACUCUGAACCCCUAAGUAACACCCGUAAUCCCACAUUUUUCCCCUUUCUCAUCUAUUCUUCUCUUAACUACUCUUUACCAUUUGAGCUUUUCUACAUGAAAUUCAAUCACCUAUGCAAAAUCCUUUAUAAUUAUAUAGAAAAGUAAAAAUAAUCAUGUUCUUUGUGUUUUGUGGUGGCUUUUUAGAUACUUAUUUNNNNNNNNNNNNNNNNNNNNNNNNNNNNNNNNNNNNNNNNNNNNNNNNNNNNNNNNNNNNNNNNNNNNNNNNNNNNNNNNNNNNNNNNNNNNNNNNNNNNNNNNNNNNNNNNNNNNNNNNNNNNNNNNNNNNNNNNNNNNNNNNNNNNNNNNNNNNNNNNNNNNNNNNNNNNNNNNNNNNNNNNNNNNNNNNNNNNNNNNNNNNNNNNNNNNNNNNNNNNNNNNNNNNNNNNNNNNNNNNNNNNNNNNNNNNNNNNNNNNNNNNNNNNNNNNNNNNNNNNNNNNNNNNNNNNNNNNNNNNNNNNNNNNNNNNNNNNNNNNNNNNNNNNNNNNNNNNNNNNNNNNNNNNNNNNNNNNNNNNNNNNNNNNNNNNNNNNNNNNNNNNNNNNNNNNNNNNNNNNNNNNNNNNNNNNNNNNNNNNNNNNNNNNNNNNNNNNNNNNNNNNNNNNNNNNNNNNNNNNNNNNNNNNNNNNNNNNNNNNNNNNNNNNNNNNNNNNNNNNNNNNNNNNNNNNNNNNNNNNNNNNNNNNNNNNNNNNNNNNNNNNNNNNNNNNNNNNNNNNNNNNNNNNNNNNNNNNNNNNNNNNNNNNNNNNNNNNNNNNNNNNNNNNNNNNNNNNNNNNNNNNNNNNNNNNNNNNNNNNNNNNNNNNNNNNNNNNNNNNNNNNNNNNNNNNNNNNNNNNNNNNNNNNNNNNNNNNNNNUCUCUCUCUCUCUCUCUCUCUCUCUCUCUCUCUCUCCAUUUCUCUCCCUCUUUCCCCACCCUCUCCCUGUUUUUGGUAUGCUCCAAUUCAGCACGGUACGGACCUAUACCAUACUGAACUAGUCCUGGCUACGACCUCCGGUACUGGUUCGGCUACUCUAAACAAUCCUGAAUUGUCCAUGGCCUACUCUCACAUUCUUCUGUGCACUCAAUGUGAUAUUCCUUGUAAUGUAGCCGCAUUGCUCUAGACAUGAUUCCUUUUAUGCAGGUUAUAAGGGCAUUUCUUCUUUAUGUAAGUGCCCAGCAUGAUUUGUUGGUACUGAAGGUAACAUAUCUAAUUAAUGUUUAAGAUCAGAGUGGACAGCUUAUCCGUUUCUCUUGUUGAAGUUUGUGGUUCAGUCAACUUUAUGGUGUAGUUGGUUAUGGUGACAUCCAAAUGAACCUAUGUAGCAUUACUCUCAAAUGAUUGUGUUAACUCUUCUAUCGAUGGUUUGGUUUUCUUGUUUAUACUUUUUACAGCGCAAUGCCUUUUCAUCGAGCCUCUUUCAAUUAGUCAUGUAUCAGUGGUCAUUUUGUUUUUUGAUAUGUACAUAAUGUAUCUAGAUGCUGUGUUAAAGUUCUGUCUUCUUUGUUUCUGUGAACAGGUUUUGUCAAUGAGGGCUGUUGCCUGUGUCUCAUCAUGGUGUAAUCAGCUAAUUAAAGAUCGUUCCCUUGAUUCUGCAUUUACUUUCUUGUGGGAUUUCUCUUGGAAAGUUAUUAAGUCUCCUGCAUAUGAUUCCGAGGCAUGUUCAAGUGCUUAUGAAACAUUUGUUCAAUAUCAACAUAUAAUUAUCAUUUUGAUUUCUCCCCCUUCUCUUGGAUAAUGUGUUAGCUGAUAAUAGUGAUCUUUAAUUUUUCACUUUGUCCCAGAGUGGAGCAGAAAUUCGUUUAGCAGCAUAUGAAGCAUUAGCAUGUGUCUUGAAAGCAUUGUCUACCUAUUUUAAUACUUCGUGUUUAGAUUUUGUUAUGGCAUAUAAUGAAUCACAUUUUUCAAGUGAGGAAGUCAAACCUUUGUUAGAUCUUCUGGUUCUUUGCUUCUUGCACAAUAUCAAUGAUCUGCUUGCUAUUGGAGUUUUGGCACGAAGUCGACGAGCAGUUCUAAUGAACUGGAAGGUGAAAAUGUUCUAUAAUAGUUUGUUUUUUUGAUCUCCAUUUAGAAGCUUGUUUUGCUUAGAUCUUGUCCAAUCAUUUAGAAAAACAUGUGCUGUAUGUUACAUGGAAGUUAACAUGCUAUUGAUUUUGCUAGUGGCAUUGUCUAGAUUCUCUGCUGUCCGUUCCUUACAUAGUCACUGAAAAGGGAGUUUAUCUAAAGGAUGCAUAUCCUUUAUUUUCAGUUUCAACUCUCCGAAGUAUUUUUUUUGAUAUUGUUGAAAGGUAAUGAAUCCACUAUGCUGUUUAAAAUAUUUCUGCAAAUUGUUAUUCUUAUGUGUAAAUUAUCAGAUAUAAUUGCAAAGAUCCUGAGAAGUUAAGAUUGGAAUAUUUUCUUUUGCAUGAUGUCACAUUGCUCUAUUUCUCAUACAAGACGAAAUGCAUGUAAUCUUCUAUGUACCAUGCGGUCACCAAAAGUUAACUUAAUAAUGCAAAAUUCAAUCAGAACUUAUGUCUAGCUUAAGCUGGACGACACGUAGACAUCUCUAGAAGAGUCUUCUAGCUGAAAGUCCGAUUGUUGUGGAUUGAAAUAGGAAGUAAUAGAUGGGAUAGGCAGCUAGAAGAAGGACAUGAACCUAAAGGGAUCAUGGGUAUUGUUAUAAGCAUUAUACCAGUUUUUUUUUUUGAGUUUGAACACUGGUUUAAAAAUGUAUUUUAUGUUGUGGGCCUAAUUUCUAGAUUAAAUUCUACUCAGACAAGUUUGACAAGGAAGCCUAGGUAGUAAUUUAGUUGAGCAUGUGGAAUCUGAAUUGGCUGGAUUGCUAAAAUCUUAAAUGACUGGAUUGGGUCAUACAAGGAUUGCAUGUUUUGGCGUUUUGAUCCAUAUGUGAUGCAUAUGUUCUAGAUAUAUCAAAACCCUUGAUCCAUAUGUGAUGCAUUUAUAUUUCGGUCGAAAAGAAUAAACAUGUGCUUCAGUUAAACAGAAUAAACUUGUGCUUCGAUUAUUUUCUUAUGGACCCUACCCAGCCCGAUAAUCCAAUUAGGGCUUCACUUGUCAGUCAUGUACCUUAAAAAAUAAAAGUGAAAUAGGGCCAAGGAGAGGAUCUAUUUGGUUGGGCAUCUAAAUAUGGUGAGAAAGAUAGCAGAGAAAAUUAAAGUGGAAGAAAAUAUGAUAAAUCCUAAAGAUGCUUUCUGCUCCACUUUCCUCUUUAACUAUUUUCUUUUUUGCUUUCUCUUAACCAUGAACUGCAUGACCUUCCUAAUCAUUCAAACCAAGCCUUUGCUAGCCCAUGGCCCAUUAUACAACCGCCCCUAUUGCAGGGGCAUAAUACUUGAUUUAAUUGUCUUUGUUUUGGGAACCGGAUAGACCUGACCUGUUUAUAAUUGGGUUCAUUUGAUAUAAUCCAACAUAUUUAUUUUGUGUCGGCUCGGAUGGGUUGGUGGGUCUGGGUUAGAAAUUGCCCACUCUAGCUCGUAUUGACCAGUUGUUUGGUUGAUUUUUUAUAAGUUUAUCUUCUCCAAAUUUUGAUUCUAUUGCAUCUGCUUCCAAAUUUGGUUGCACGAUAUACCUUGGUAGCAACAUAUCCUGAACAUCUCCAUUUUUCCUGUUCACAAUCAUUACUACAUCUAAACAUGAUCUUUACUUAGCUCAAUAGUAGCUUCUUGGAUAACUUGAGUAGCUUCUUGGAUAACAUGAAGCAUAAAGAAAGGAGUCCCGAGUAUUUUUGUAAGUAGCCAUCCACGGUUUUCACUAUUAAUAUUUUGAUAGCUAUGUUACUUGUGCGCUCCUUUUAAGUUGUUUGGAAGUGUCAAUACUUUUGGACACCUGGACAUGACAUGACACUACACGGCUUGACACUCCAAUUUGAAGUUUCCUGUUUUUGUCAACAACAAGUUCUGAUGCUUGGCACCUUUUUUGGAGUGUAAUGUAGGGGUACUCGUAGUUUUAAGUUUUGGACACUUUUAGUAAAUAUGUAUCCUUAAAUUUUUCUAGACACUUUAACAAAGGUGUCCUCGAGUUCUUCUAGACAUUGCAAGCGAAGUGUCCUAACAUUUUAAUUUAAAUUUACCAAGAUUAUAUAGACACUUUAAGUGGAAUAUCAUUAUAUUUUAUAUAUAAAUAUGUUAUAGUUAGCUAUGAAUUUAAGUAUCUCGACACAUCUUAAGUAAAUGCAGCAAAUAAAUUAAAUAACUUGCAAACUCAUGGCUAUUCCAUUAAUAUAUUUGUUAAAUAGCAUCUACUAAUUUCAAAGUUUGCUAUUUUUGUAUCAGACCCUGUACCAGUACCAUCCUAUUAUAUUGUCGAUACACAGUACAAUACGGACAAGGUGUACGAGUGUUGGUAUGAUACGAGAUUGCGUAUUGGUUUGGUAUCGGUACGAUAUGAUACCAACCAAUAUGGUAAACCUCAACUAAUUCUAAGUUCUUUUUUUUUGAAUAAGCAUUAAAAUCAAGAUAUGCCGAACCGGUGCCGGUAGGCGUACCGGUUUGGUACUGGUCGAAUCGGUAUUGAACCGGCAACAACGCGGGCGCGCUGCGGACAAAAUGCCACUCUGUGGCAUUUAAAAAAUUGCCACAGAGUGGCAUUUAAAAAAUUGCCACAGAGUGGCAUUAAAAAAAAGUGCCAUAGAGUGGCAUUAAAAGAAAAUGCCACAGAGGCAUUUAUCCGAAGCGUCCGGUUCGCACCGGUACAAAGCGGUACCGGACUUGUAUCGGUCCGGUUCGCACCGGUACGCCCUCCAUAUCGCUCAGUUCCGGCCCCAUAGAGACCGAAACCGUUUUCCAUUGUCGUACCAUACCGGUCAGGGACCGGACCCUACACGCCGGUUUGCACACCAUGAUUAAAACUAAUGAUUGCUGAAUCGAGCCGAAUCGGCCGGUUCAGCCCGAACCGAGCCGGCCCGGUCUCCGACCGGGUUCGCUCUCCAUUGGAAAACGGUUCUGGCCUUGUUGGGGCCGGAACCUGAUUGGAUGUGGCCAAAACCGGUUGGAACUGACCGAAAAUUAACAAAAUCAGAUGGUUCUGUCCGGUUUGAAUCGGUAUCGAACUGUACCGAUCGCCGAUCGGUACGGAUCUCGAUACCGGAUUGAUCGGUACGGGUCUCGUUACUGGUUCGACGAUUGAUUAAAACACACAAACACACUACAUAGAUGUCCAUAUGUAUGUACACAAGGACACACGUAUGUAUGGAUGCCAUGUCCCUAUGCCUAGAUCUUUGGAGGAUGUCAUGUCUGAUGCUUGAGGACACUUAGACACAUGGCAUCCAAGUGUCAGAUAAUACUGUUUGAUAGACCUUUCUCUAGGUGGCAGGUAGUUAGCUUACUGGUAGCAUUUGUUUCGUCAUUACAGGAGGCAGGUGAGUGACAGUAUCCUUACUGAAAAUUCAAUUUGCUUAACAUAAAUUCAAUUUAUCCACCAUAAAUUCAGACUUAAACAUUCAGACUUAAACAGGCAAAUUCAAUUUGCUUAACCAUAAAUUCCAUUGGUAUUAUGCUGCUUAUUAUGGAUCUAUCCUACUAAAUCACUCGUUCACUUGUUAACAUUUAUCCACCAUCUCGUAGUUUUGUCUGCUUCAUGUUAGAGCCUCUACUAUCAAAUAUGAGAAGAAAAAGUUAUCCUUCCAAUACAAUCCUCUUACCUUAGAGGUGGAAUGUGUGGAAAUGACAUAGCUAGGUCUUCUAGGAAUGGUUAAUCAGAUGAUGCAUACACUCUUUAACAUGCUUGCUUAAAAAACAUAUCUGUUCUUGCGGACUAUAUGCUCUAAAAUUUACAGAAUUAAAAAACUAAGCAAAUACCCCACCUUAUUAGUAGUGCCCGUGGUAUGCUGAACCGGCCUGUACCAGCCGGUUUAGCACGUACCGUAUCGGUCCGGUUCAGUCGUGGAAACCGGUGCAAGGCCCGUAGAUGCCGAACCCAGCCAGAGCUGGAGAAGAAGAAGAGAAGGAGAGAGCGAGCGGGAGAGGGAGGGAGGGAGGAGAGGCUUCCGCUGCCUGCGGAGGGCCGACGGGGGGCGGCGGAGCCCGCGGGGGCAAGCGAUUUGCCGAUUUCACUUAAAAAUUUCUAAUUUCUUUUUGCGGCUGCGGCCUCGGCCUCCGCUGCGCCUCCUCAGCCUUUACCGACCCCCUGUGGCCCUCCGUGGGCUCCCACCCUCCCUCCCCUGCUCACUCUCUCUUUCUCUUCUUCCCCGGCUUCGGCUGGGCGCACCCGUUUCCGCGAGGAAGAGCUGGCUGGCUCCCGGUAUCGAGCUGGAACCAUACCGGUCUGGUAGGCAACUGGUACAUCUAUCGGUACCGGUACGACGUACCUUGGUAGUGCCUGUAACCAACGAGGGAAACAAGUUAAUGUUGGUUCUUCAAUAUAAUGUUUAACCUUACUAUGGAUGUUCUUAUAUUUUUUUUUCCAUAUUGAAUUUAAAUUUGCAUGAAAAAUUAUGACCUUUUAGGUGGCAACUGAAGGUAUAGUUUGAAUGCAUUUUCAUGUUCCAUGUUUAAAUUAAUGCUACUCGUAAAAAAAUAUCUGCUGCUUUUCAGUUUUGCAAUUCUUAUAUUUAGUGAAGAACUAAUUCGCUGAAUCAUUGUUAUUUUAUUUGCAUUUUCAGCCUUGAGAAUGCUGGUGAAAGUUCUGUAUUGUCCAUGUUGAGAUCUGUAAGGUUGGUUUUGGGGCUUUUAUGCUGUGGUAGAAUAUCUUCAGUAUUUUCUUCGUGUUCUGGAGUUACUUGUCAGGUUUAUUUCGUAUCUCUUCCUUCUAAAUUAUGCACCAGAUUGUUCACAUACGUCAUGGGGUUUUGCAAGUUGUGUAGUGUGUACUAGUGAACGCUACAAAGAAGAUAAUCUUCUACGGAGCAUAAUAUUUUUUUGCACACAUUUAGAAUAAACUAUACUUCUCAUAUACAUACACUGUUUUAAAUAUAAUAGUAUAAGGUAUAUGCAUGUAUACUCCACAACUAUACACUGAAUUCCUUUUAAAACUUUUGAUGAAUCAUUACUUGAGUUUUGUCCCAACAAAACUGUAGUCUUAAUGAAGUUAUGGAGGGAUGAGGGUAGAAAAAGCAUGAUGCCUAAAUAGCAACUGUAUUGGUGUGUGAAACAAUAUCUUUAUUUGCAGUCAUUUAGGAGCAUGAAUUUAAGGGUCGGUUGACAUGGCACAGCAUGAAACAAUACUUAGUGGACCAUUGCCACACCAGCAAAUGAUAUUGUCACAGUACCGGCCACGUGCAGUACUUGGCAUGCGACAUGUUGACUGGUCCAGUUUAUGCCUAACACUGACACUGCUUGGCAUGUCAUGGUAUUUACUGCAUUAGUAGUAGAGUGGCAUGUCACUGGCACGCAAUACUUCAAUUCUUGUAAUUAUGUGGUUUCUUCAAGGAAAAUGCAGAAAACACUUGUAGGAGAUUGUUCAGUAGGAUGACUAAUAUAAUCCUUCCUAUUUGAGGCAUAUAUGCCCAACUAGGAGGGAGGCAACAAUAGAAGUGAAUGAAUAGUGGUGCCAUAUGUAUGGGAUGAUGUGAGGCAUCAGUUACAUGAUGGUUGGAGCAAUGUUUUGUAAAUUGUGAGGCAGAGUUGUGCAGCUAGAGGUGUGUUCAUUGGCUGGCCUCUAGGAUGGUGCUAAGAGAAAAAGGACAUCAAGAAUUACCUGUAUAUGUUGGAAUAGGGAUGCAUAAAGCAGCCUUUGAAAAACAAACAUAGUGAACAAAAGAAUCUUCUAUAAUUAACAUCAAAAUAUUAAAGUCUUGUCCCUUAUUUUUUGGAUUUUCUGAAGCUGCAUCUAGAAGCAACCGACGAUUCUGUAGUUGCAGGACAUAAAUUUUAAAAAAUAGCCCACUUUACUGUUGUAACUAUAAUGCUUAGAGCAAGGUCAGCGGAAACGAUACUAAGCACCAUACUGGUUUCUCGGCGGCAUGAGUCGGUACGGAUCGUGUUGGGCCUUUACCGAUGGAGGAGACAACACGUAGACCGUGGGAGAGAGGAAAAGAGAGAGAGAAGGGGGAGAGAGGGAUGGAGAAGGAGGGAGCCCGAUGGAGGGCUGGCGGAGGCCGGCCUCAGUCGCGGAAAGCGAGGCCGCGACCACUUUUUUGUUUUAAACGAAAUAGGGGUCCGAUUGCAGCCUUAAAAAAAUUCGCGAUUUAUAAGUGAAGUCGGUAAAUUAAACUUGCUGACUUCACUUAAAAGUCGUGAAAUUAAACUUGCCGACUUCACUUAUAAAUCACGAAAUUUUUUAAGGCAACGGCUGGACCCCUGUUUCGUUCGAAAUAGGGGAAGUAGCUGUGGCCUUGCUUCUCGCAGCCUCCGCUGGCCGUCCGCCGAUGUCCCGCCCUCUCCCUCUCCCUCUCCCUCCCUCCCCCGCUUGCUCUGUCUUCCCUUCUCCUUCUCCGCUCCGGCAACAUGUUUCGUUUCCGUUGCCGGAACCAUAUUGGUGAGCUAUUGGUAUAGCUCAGGACGGUCGGAACCGUCCGGUUCGGGAUGGUUCUGCCUACCCUGGCUUAGAGCAUGUUUGUUAAUCCAGGUACCAGUCAUCAAUGCCUCCCAUGCACUUCUAUAUCUUUUUCAAGCUUUCUAUCAUCAUCUCCACACAUUCUUUCAUUUAGUUUUUAAAUGAAGGGCUCCCUAGACUGUAUGGGGAAACCUGGAUCGUAUUAGCAUUCACCAUGGUACUGAGUCUACUGACACUUAUGAAAAUUGUAUUUAAUAUAUGUCAAACUGGCACUUACAAUGGACAACAUGUUGGCACACUCUCAUCCAUCCCCUUUUCUUCUCUGAAGUUUAUCUGAUGGUGGUUUGCUUCAUUUCUCUUGCUUUUAUCAGCCACCAUAAAGUCUAGAGAAACAAAUGUGCCCAUUGGCACUUUGCAUGAGACCUCAAGCCUCAAUAAUGGUAUGCCAUACCGUACUAAACUUGGCAGUAUGGAGCAUACCAUACAGUACUAGUUCAGUACUGGUAUACGGUAUGGGGGGCAUAUCGACCUUCGGUAUGCCAAAUCGGCCUUGUACCAUACCGUACUGAUAUAUAGAGUGGCACCAGUACGGGGCCCGGUACUAAAACAGCAUACCUUGCUCGAUACUACUAGUAAUGAAGCAAUGUGGUCUUAAUAACUUGUGAUGGCAAGAUAUUCUUUCACAUAAUCAUACUGUCUGAUAGUCAUUUCAUUAAUUAUAUAGUCUUAUUAACUUGUCUAAAUAUAGGAAGAAGCGAAUGGGGGUAUUUGUUGAUAACUAAUUUUGAUGGUUGGUUAUCAAGAGGUGUGGUGAUUUUUUUUUUAAUUAGAUAAGAGAAUGAAACUGUUAGAUCGGGAGAAAGAAGGUGCCUGGUCAAAUCUGUGGUGCAGGGACAAAUUCCCAAUCUCUUUAACGUACUCCACUAACAUACAUGGAUAUCCACCAGUUUUAAGAGAAAUGAGAAAAUUAAAAAAACUAUAUCAUUUAUCACUAUCUUCUCUCUUGCGUAUGGUCUCCCUCCUACAAAUUUUGUCCAUAAUGUCUGUGAACCUUAGGAACCUACACUAAUGCUAAGUAUUAGUUUUUAAUUGAUUUAAUCUUAGCUCUUGAACCAUAUAGACAGAAGUGUUGUGAAGUGAAUUAUCUCAAAUCUCGCCAUAGUACAAUUAUGAUAUCAUAAUUUGAUGUAUAUGUUCCUUUGAUGCAAGUUGUGCAUCCCAAAGUUGUAUCUCAUUGAGGCACCCAGAUUUAUACAUUUAUUAUAACAAAGAUGGGGCUCCCAUAUCUCUGUCACAGCAAUUGAAAUUUACAUAUUAAUGAAGUACAAAAAUGAGCAAACCUAUUAAUAAUUAAAUUCUAAAUCUAAGAACUAAUUUCUAUUUAAUCAUGUCAAGAGAAGGAAAAAAAGGCACUUAGAAGAAGGUGAAAAGUGGAAGAAGAAAAACAAUGGUAAAAGGAAAUAACUUAAGUAAACAUAAUGGUUCGAAGUGUCCAAAUCCUUAGCUGGUCUUGGAACAAUGUUAUAGGGAGGCAUGGAUACCUUUUUGUACCAUUCCUGAAGUGUCCUCGCAGUCUAAAGCAUAUGCUUUACUGCCACCACAUCCAUCUCUCCUAACAUUUGCUUUCUUUGUGCUUCACUUAUAUGAUGUGCAUCUACUUGGCCUAUAGGAGUCAAUACUCCAUAAACUGAGUUUAUGUUAUUACUUGAUAUAUAUUUAAUCCUUCGGAUGCUCUAUAAAUCGUGUAUCUGUAUUCUAUCCAUGUUAUCACCUGCAUUUUAACAGCUGCAAGUUUAAGGCAAAGAAUCAUAUGCUACCAUAGGUAGGAUAUUAACCUGUGAAUGAAGAACCCUUUUUCUGCAAUAUUUUAUGCUUUCGUUCAAUGCUCUUUGUGCUUGUUGUUUUCAUAUAUUCGUUAGCCGUAUGCAACUUCUAAAACUUCACAACCUUCAAAUUAUUUUUGUACUUUUUGGUGCAGAUGAUGCUGCAAUUGGUACAGUCUUCUUGGGUAUUACACCUUAGCUGCAAUAAGCGCAGGGUUGCACCUAUUGCCGCACUUUUAUCUGCAGUCUUGCACCGGUCGGUGUUUGGUGACUUGAGCAUGCAUGAGAUGAAUGGCAGCAAACCAGGUCCCUUAAAGUGGGUCAGUAUUUAUUUGUUUUAAAAACUGUUUGACAAGUUCAAGAUAGACAUAGUGCUUUCUAUCUGUUUAUAUGUUCCACCAAUCUUAGAAGGUAAGAGUUUAAUGAUCUGGUUUUGUGUCAGAAGCCACAGUGUUAUCAACCUGUUUUGAAAACUAUUCAUAUAUUUCAUCAAUCUCCGAAGGUAAGAGUUCACUGAGCCAAUUUGUGUCAGAACCAGGAAUUCUAAAGAAAGUGUAGAGUUGCUGGUUUGGAAUAGCUCCAUGCAUCUGCAAUGAUUUAGGCUAUUAAGAUGUGCCAUGCAAGAAGCUGUUGUUCUAUAUUACUUCAAAUUAUAUUUGGUAUUUCACCAUAUUUGUAGUGUUCAACAAAUAUUUUGCACUGAGAAACAGUUGGUGUAGGUGCAGCUGCUGGUAAGCUAAAUGGUAUUUUGAAACUUUGGCUAUGAAGAUUCAGUGUCUGCAAUUCAGUAUGAGGUUUAGCAAGUUGUAAGAAAGGGUCUACAGGGCAAGUAAAAUAUGCAAAGUGCAAAGUAGUCUGACGAUGUGUGCACCUGUAGCUGCUCUUCAGACAAAGUUUCCAUUGAAAAAUGCUCUUCAGACAAAGUUGUAAUCAUGUGAAAAAACUUCCAGCACCAUAAAUAACAAGCUUUAUUCAGCUUCUAUUGGCACAGAAAACAGAGAUUCUCUUUUUAAAAACAAUUUAUUUCUGAACAAACCUUGCAUAUGCUCUAUAAAUUUCAGAAACAUAAAGUCAUGGGCUUUAUUCUUGCACAAUAUUGUGAAGUGCAGUACCUAUUCAUAGAAAUGUUUCAUAUAGGAAGCAUGCUAUGACAAGGCGGUUUGAUGGGAAAGGAGAUUUUGUAAGAUGCUAUGAAUGUAAAGAGUAGAAAACUAGAAAUAUUAUGAACAAAAAGAUAUAAUAUAACAAAAGAUAAGGAAAGAAUCGUUCUAUAUGGCCAAGCAAUUGUAGAAUAAUGAUUCCUAGAACCAUGGCCUGAUGUUUUGCUCACCCUGCUUUUCUCUGCAUCAAGUUGGAUCCUUGUACCUUGAAAGCCAUGCAUGCUUGUGUUUUAUCCUUGUAUUCAGGAAAUUGACCUAGAACCAAUUUAAUUUAGCUCACAGAUAUGGACUAUUUCUUGAUCACUUGAAUCUAUCCAUUUGAGUUCAUUAUUCAAUGUUCUCUUAAGUUUAAGUGCCUUAAGUAUCCAUUUCAUAUAUUAUGGUAAUAUCUGAUGAUUCUGAUCCAUAUAAUGGUCUGAACACUAAUUGUCAGUUUUGCAAUUACCUUUCCUCUUCCCAUCCAAAAGUUAAUUCUAUCAUCUCCAUGCUUCUUAAAAAAUUGGAGCAAUUUGUUUUAAAUCAAUUGAAUACCAUGGUGGGCAAACCUCAAAGGCUCUGAAGAUGUUUAAUGUUGCUCAUGAAUAUUCAUUUAGAUCCUGUAGGUCCCCUAUAAUUGAUUCAGUAUUUCAUGCAAUAAUGCCUGUUGUCCCAUGCUCAGGCAGGCCCCUAUGAUUACACAUGAACCCGCCUCCCCUUCCUCCCUGCCUAUCCAUUUUUCUAAUGUUUGACAUCCUAUAAGAUAUUCUGUACUAGAUAUGGUUAAGGAUUAGUUUGGUUGAAACUUGAAACCAACAGCCCUGAGAGAUGUUGUUUGCUGCCCCUCUCAGUGGAACAUGCCUCAAAAAGUUGAGAGAAACUCACCAUCUAGACUAUGAUGGCUGAUAGUGGGUCUCGACUCUUGUCCACUGUUGAGAUUCUAGAGUUGAAAGGAACCAGGAAUGAGGAAUACUGAUUCCCAGCAACUUAGUAUAACAUUAUCCACUUAAGACUUUGAUUGAACAUUGAAGUGUAUUUUUAUCUUUCUUUUCCCCCUUAAUCUGACAUUCCGGGCUUUCAUUUUUUUCCUUCAUAUUUUUAGUUGUUACCAACUUGAGAGUAUUGUCUGAUUUGUCCCUAAACUUAGAGCUAUGCUGUCCAGAAACAGAUUUUAAGAUGCCACUCUUUUUAAGAUGCUGUCCAGCAAAAGGCUCUAUCUAUGUACAGGCCUAUUGUGUCUAGUUUUUUAAUUCAGUUAUGAUAAAUUUUUCAUGGGUGGGCUUUGAAUUUUUUUUUUCUUGUAUGCAGUCUGUCUUUCUUCACAAGUUGGUAAGUCUAAACAAUAAAUUUUUCAAGUGGGUUGCCUCUAAAGGCUUAAUCUUUGAGGAGGGAGGGAAGAAUGCACCGAACAUUACUACUUCUUGGUGUGCCAUGUUUCCUGGAUAUCCUUGACUUUUGUCUCUCUUUACUGUUCUCUUAGAGCUCAUGAGGUGAGAGAGAAAGGUCCUGUCAGUCUUCUGUUGCAACCUAAAUCAUGUCGCAAUGCCUUAAUUUGCUUGUACCCAAUCCAUGGCCACUGCCUAGCCAUUUGUGUCAUAGAAAUCUGAGGUUUCAUAUCUUUGGCGAGCUACUUGGGCACCUGCUAGCAUCUAGCAUACAUGAGUAGGAUAUCCAUACCUUGAUAACCUGUCUUUUGGAAUUUUGCCAAACUCGCGUUCCCAUACUUGCUUUCUUAGGCACUUUUUAACCUUAAAUUGUUCUUAAAGCUUCACUUUGCAUUCCUGCAUUAAAAUCUGCUUCCACAUCUGUGCUUUUAAAACUGGUAAGAGAAGGUUACAAACUGUAGUUCAAUUUAUAUUGUUGAUUUCAUAAAGGAGAAAAUCAGAAGAAAAUACUAUAUGUCAUCAUUGCAAUAAACUUUAGAUUAUUGGAAGUAAAACAAGAUAAUGAUAGAUCACCACUUGAUGAAACAAUUGUGAUAUUAAGAACUAGAAAACUAACUUGGAUUCUGGCUUGAUGAACAACUGAUUAUUGUUGGUGCAUCAUUCUGGCUUGUGAGAGCCUGACCAAUUCCAUAAAAAAAUUAUGUUUAAGCAAGUUUUUAAGAACUGACACCAAUACCUAUAUUGGCACAUUGCCUGUAUGUGCGUGCCAAGUGUUGGUAUAAUAUGCUGGUCUUAUACCUAAUGUGAGUAUGGGGAGCAUACUCAGUUCCUAUAGACUUCCCAUGGUAUGCUUAGUACAGAUGGUACUUAAAAUCUUGAUCAGUUUAAGUGUCUUGGAGGAAGUUAGGAUGCAUUAUGGUUCCUUGGAAUCAUCUACUUGUUUUUUGAAGAGCAAAUUUGUCUUGUGAAAUUAUUAUACUAGCAAAGUUUUGAGAUAUUGGUGUUUCAUAUAUUUAAGUUGCUUCUUCAUUUCUGGACCUUGUCUCAUCUUACAUUUUCCUGCUAUCUAUCUUAGCUAGGCCUUCUAUUAUUGCAGAAGGAUUUUAAGGAAGUUUGUAAUCAUUUUUUCUUGUAGUUCAUAGAAAAGCUUCUUGAUGAAGGCACGAAAAGUCCUCGCACUAUUCGACUUGCGGCUUUGCACUUGACUGGGUUAUGGCUCUUGUAUCCUAGAAUAAUCAAAUAUUACAUAAAAGAGUUGAAGUUGCUAACCCUAUAUGGCUCUGGUAGAUUCAUCCUCUUCCAUUAUUUUGUUGUCUUUAUGAAUUAAUUUCAUUGGAUGUCAUUAUAACAAUUGCUUUAUUCCUUUGUUACUAAUUUGUUUUUUGUUUUGGGGGGCGGGGAUAGUGGCUUUCGAUGAGGAUUUUGAAGCUGAAUUUUCUGAAAAUCAUGAAGCAAGAAUUGAAGUUUCAUUGUUAGCUCAAAGCCCAGAUUGUGAGUUCACAGAGGUAAUCCAAAAUGCACCACCAUUAUUAAUUGUGGUUGCAUCAUAAUUGUAUUAAUAAAUUACAUCAUAAUUAUAUUAAUUGAUUAAAAGUUAUGCCUUUGUUUAUUAAUGAUUACUGAACUGAUGUCCUCCCACUUGUCUUCUAAAUUAAGUGCAUGUCUGGAUAUUCCUACAGAAUUGGGCUGAAAAUCAUGUAGGAAUCAGGUCGAUUGGUCCAUAUGUCUUGCAUUGUCUAAGAGCUUGCCCAAAUCCAACCCAGAUUCUAGCCUUUAGGCUGCAAGAAGAAAAAAAAGGCCCAUAGUGGUUUUUUUUCUUCCCACAGGAUUUCGCUUGAGUGGUAUUUGGUUAAUACAGGGCCAUGCUUAAAUGAACGGCCCAAUCCAUGAAUCCUAGAGAAUUUUCAGCCCAAUUCUGUAGGAAUAUCCAAACAGGCCCUCAAUGUUUUUAUAUCCAGAUGCUUGUAAUAUCUCAUAUACCUUUAUAUAAAUGGUUGAAGUUACUGAAACAAAUACAUGCAUUGGUGUGGUAUGGUAUCCAAGUUGGAAAUAGGCUUGGGUUGGCUCCAAGCUUGUCAGGUUGGGUGAGUUUUGGGUUGGGCAUUGGGUUCAGCUUAAAAUAGUUGGGGUUGGGCUUGGGCUUGAUAUCCAAGGAUAGAAAAAUUUUAGGCCAAGUUUGGGUCUUGCCUUGGCCUGGCCUUAGCCCAACCUCAGCUUGAAACCUGAGGCCAAGCCUCCCUGUUCCUUAUCUUAAUCCCACCCUACCCACCCUUCCCCAACUGCCCCAUUCCUCAUCUCAAUUGUACACCCCCUUCCCUCCUUUUCUCUAUUCCCACCAUCCCUCUCUCUGCUCGUCUUGACAGCUCCCCCUCCCCUCCUUGUCUAAAAUCCCUCCCUUCCCGUUCCACAUUCCUGAUACCCCUCCAUCUCGACCCCCCUACUCCCGCUUCCCCUCUACCUCACCCUCCGUUACCUCCAUUGUUGGCAGCACCUUUGCCAUGCCCAAUCCUAGCUGCUUCACUGUUGUUCCUAAGCACAACCUCCACACCACUCCUUCUUCUUCCUCUCCAUCUCCCUCUAGCCUUUUCUCAUGCCCCCUCUCCCUCCCUUUCUCUCCUCUUCCUCUCCAAUCUUAGCAUACAUCAAUAGGCCAUUUGACCGAAUCUUAGCCCCAAGCUGGAGGGGUGGAAGGGGGUUUAUGGUGGUAGGGGGCUGGAUUCCCUUUUUCUUUCUUUCCUUCUCCAGGUCUAGCAAGAUGGAGCUCCAUAUGGGUCAGGUUGGCACGGGCUUCAUUAGGGUCGGGGUCGCUUAUGUUUGGGUUUGCGUUGAGCAAGAGGAUGGCCCAGCUUGGCUCGGCUUGUUUCUAGUCUUAAUGGCAUCACAUUGACACACAGUAAGCCUGUUAGUGCCACCACGAACAAAACCAAUAAGAGAUGAUUUAUAAUUUGGUGGGAAGGGUUGGGACUAAGGGGCAUAUUUAUAUUGGUUCCUUAUUAGGUAUGGUAUGGCUAGUACAGAACCAUAUGGACUAGUAUUUAGGUUUGUAGAAAAUAUAACUAAUAGACUGAUGGCUGUUGAACUUAUUUUAGAUGACGGCAUUAUUGAUGAAAUUAAUACUUUUGCACCCCAAGUAGGAUUGAAGAGGACAAAGAGACAAUUUUGAUAGGAGUUGGAAGGAAUAGUAUAAGGAAUUCCAAAGAGAGAAGAUUUUAUAGGUGGUACUUUAGAUGGUCAUAUUGGGUGUUUUGAGUGAUGUGUGACGGUCAACAAUGGACAUGGGCUUGGUGACAGGGAUGCAGUGGUCAUAUAAUAUUUUAGUCUGCAAUGGCCUCUAUCAAUUACGCUUGUUCGUUAUUUGCAGUACGACUCUCUAAUAUAGUAGUUCUAUUUGUUCUAUUUGUCUUAUUACCCUAUAACAUAACUACGUACUAUGGCCAUCAAUUUUGUACCAUGACAUUUAGUGCAACUUUCCAUGUCACCUUUGUUUUUAGAGAUGGAUGUUACAACUUUUUUUUUCAUUCAUAUGUCUAUGAUUUCAAGCUUAUUGAAUAAGCUAGUUAAAUAUUUGGCUUGUUGCUAGUUGAAUUUCUAGUUGGAGGGUGAUGCACGUGCCACCAACUUUUAAAGUGGUUCCUCUAAUUUAUUCUUGCAGCAAUAUCCUCAUUCAGAUACUCUCAAAAAUAAAAUUUUCUUUUCCUGGUACCAUGUCUGAAGUUUCGCCCGUAACAAACAUGACAUGGAUGAUUUGGUUUUGGCCAAAUUUAAUUGAAAAAUAGGGCCAGUUAUGAAGUUUUGACCAGAACUAACUAUAUAACCAAAUUCAACAUAUUAUAAGCUAUCUAUACCAAUUUAUUUGCCAUUCCUUCAUUGAGGAAGCAUUUUGUCCUGAUUAAAUGGAAUAUGCAUUUUCAGAAGAUUUGAAUGCCAUGCAACAUGGAAUUUGCUAGUUCUCAGAAGAUCUGAAAGCCAUGUAACAUUAUGUUCCAGAGAGACUUAAAAAGUAAAUUCAUUUACAUAUGGCCUACUAUCGCAGAAUUCAAAUCUCAUAGCAUUUUGUUUAUCAUAUGUUCGGUUGCCAUCAGAUAGUCAAAUGAUUACACUCUAAACAAGAUUUUUUAGCAUUAUAUUUUUUAAAACUACUUUAUUUGACUCAGUUUGAAACCAUUGAAACGAAGCACUCAUAUAUUGCAAUGGAAAUAAUAUACUUUAAAAUGAUCUCUAAUACAUUUCCUUGUCAUAUUUUAUUUUUCUUUGUUUUUAUUAUUGUUUCUAUUUCUAUUUUUUUUCUUGGUUUUUAUUGUUUUCAGGGGAAAAGUUGAAACUGGAGCUGAAAUUAUCAGCACCAAGCCUUUUGAACCUUACUUGUUACUAUGAUCUUUUGCUGUCGUUAUAACUGUCGCAAAAGGGUCGAUGUCUCGUGAAUACUGGUCCUGUACUGGCCGAUAUGUGCCAUAGAUGCCAUGAGCCUAUUCAAUCGGGGACAGUACAUAUUGCUAUUGGGUGAACUGCUUUAUAUCGAAGCAUAGCACCCCUAUAUCAUCACAUAUCAUCCAUACUGCUUAGUUUCUGUUUUUCCUUAUUCAUGCCAUGGUGUACCAUAUCACGGAUUGUACCAUACAGGCCGAACGUUAAUAUUGUAUCAGUCCUUGAGAUUUGAAUCCCUGCUCUCACACUUAAUCAUUUAUUAUGAUCUAUAUCAAAUAAGCUUUUCAGCCGACCUAGUUAUAUGGCUUCCUUUGGUUCCUUGUAUUUUUCACAUUUUUGAUAUUUUCAUCCCAUGUCAUAUCUCAAUGAAUUAGGACCUGAAGGAGUUCAUUAGAUAUGAUAUUCCAUGCUUUUGCAGCUUCCUGCUGGUUUGCUUGCUAUAGCAUUUUAUAUCUUGACUUCCAAAUUACAUUUGCUACUGUUCUGUAAAAUCUUUUUUUUAUGCCUUUCUGAUAUGUUAAGAUAUAUUGGCUAUUUAUUAUCUGGUGUUGCACUCUUUCAGUUGUUUGUCAAUACAGAGAUGUACGCUCGUGUAUCUGUUGCUGUUUUGUUCUACAAACUAGCAAAUUUAGCUGACAGGAGAGGUGAACUGGAGAAUCAAGAUACUUUGGCUGCACUUCGAUGUGGAAAAGCAUUUCUACUAGAGCUUCUUGAUUCUGUGGUAUGCGCUUAUAAUACUGAAGUAUAGGGAACAGGUUGUACUAUAGAAGCCUCUUUAAGUUAAUAAGCUUUAUGGUCCCUUGAUAUUUAUGGGCAUGGACUGAACAUCUUAUGUUCUGUUUGACAUCCUGGGAAAUAGAAUUGCUUUAUUGUUGGCAGGCUUGGUGAUAACUGCAUGCGGAAUCGUAUUUUUUUUUUAUAAAUUUUGCAUUUUCUUUUUUGUACACUUCAUAUACAGUAAAAAGCACCUUUGAUCAUCCAUAGAUUUCCAGGAAUGGUCCUAUUUUUUUUGAUAAAUUAGUAUAUGUAUGGCAGAUCAUUUUAAAACACCGAUAUUUCUUUUGCUACGGAUUGAAGUAUCUAUGCCACAUUAUGAUCUUGAUCUAAUUUUCAUCUAUGAAACUGAAAAAAAAGCGAUAAUCGCGCACUGCAUGUCCAUUAGACUUACAUCUGUUGGUCUUAAAAUGACUCAAGCAGGACCAAGUCUUCGCUUGUUAUCCCUGCUUUUUAUGUGCAAAUGCGUAAAAAUUCUCUUGUUAGCCACAAUACAAUAUUAAACUUACAAAUUUCCACAAGAUUAAAGAAAUACAUCAACAGAUUGCUGCAUUCAAACACGUAUACAUGUAUCCUAUGGUCUACAUAGAUUGACUAAAAGAUGCAUGGCCAUCCUUUUUGUGGUGAUACAUUUUUCUUCACUAAAAUUGGUUAUAAGGUUAUGUAACCUUUCCUUGUGGGAUAACACUAAAGCAACAAGAGUCCAAGCACCUUAUUUAUAGCAAAUUCCAUCACUUUCAAGUUCCUAAAGUCAGCUACCUUUUUGCUUGGCAAACUAGAGAUUAGGCUUGAAUUAGUCCUUGUAAUUAUAUGCUUCCGUCUUAUCUCUCAUAUAACAUAGUGAGUUAGUCAAAUGAGAGCUUGGCAUAAUUUAUAACUGAUGAUAUAUGGAGAAAGUAACUAUAGUUUAUUUGCUUCAUAAACAAAAGACACAUUGUUUACAUUUAAGAUACAUUUAUUCAGCAAUGAUAAAAUUUGGUUAAAUUCAUACAUAUGUACGUAUAAAUACAUUCAUAAAUGGGGAAUCCAUGCAGCAUGAUCUAUGUCAUUAGAGGUACCUAAAAACCAAAAUCAUAUGUUAUGGAGGCCUCCUAACCAUGGAUCAAGUGGACAACAAAUAGAUUAUAACAAGUGUUAUUGUGCUAAGCCUAAGCUAUGUGGUAAGGUAAACCCUUAAACUAACCCCUGUGCUUCUAGGGUAGUGGAUUAGUGAUAACAGUGUGAUGGGUCAGUUAAGGCUUGGUUUCAGUGAUUAGGAAAGCCAUGUACUUCAUAGCUAAGAAAAAGAACAAAAUAUUGACGAAAAAAGUGGAACGAGCAAUUUGUUUAGGAUUUAUCAUGUUCUUCUCCAUUUUUAUUUUCUCUUCCUCUCUUUCACUUUAUCUGAAUGUUGACCUUACUCCAUUUUUAUGAUCGACAAGUGAACCCUUAGUUGGGUUUUCAGGUCAAGUAUGGAUCCAUAUAAAAACAGAUUGGUCGGUUAUGACUUUAUUCAUUUCAACUCAAUUAUAGAUGGGGCAGGUAGUGGAUGUGGGUUUUUUUUAAAAAAUUUGACCAGAAUUUGCCCUGAACAAAACUGGACUUGGCCUGACUUAUCAGCAUGCCUGUUUGGAUUCCUCUGAAAUGUAAACUGGGGGAAAACCUGGGGAUUAAGUGUUAACUGAUAUCUCUUAUAAGUAUUCUUCAACAAUCAAAUGCAACUUGUAUUUUUCAUGGAUUCAAAUGCCAAUAGGAAUGGCACGGGUUGGCAAAACAGAUAGUGUGCCAAUGCCAGGUCAGCGCACCAUUGCCCUGUGAUAGUUCAACCGUUGGUAUUUUUUAAAUCCAUUAUUUGUUACAAAGUACCGGUGUAUUCAAAAACCUUGGACUUGUUUUGAGAAAUUUAAUUCAAAGCUUUUGUUGACUUGUUAAAUCAUGUAAUGAUGGACCUGGGAUUCAAUGUCUAACAUUUGUCUUUCUAUGUUUACAACAAGGUUAAUGAUAAAGAUCUUGCAAAGGAACUUUAUAAAAAAUAUAGUGGUGUGAGUAUUCUUUCUUAUCUGCUUUUGGGUUUUAAAUAACCCUAUCAUUUUAAUGGUCAAAGCAUGAGGUAUCACAAUAUGACAUAGUUCUUUUUUAUCAGAUCCAUAGGCGCAAAGUUCGUGCUUGGCAAAUGAUAUGCAUACUGUCACACUUUGUUGAGGAGGAUAUAGUAGAAGAAGUCACAUCUAACUUACAUAUUUGCCUAUGUGUAAGUACAUCUUCAUUCUUUUUAUGUAGCAGACAUCAAGUUAAUUUUUUUUAAUGGUCCAUUGCACUGUGUUGUAGGGCUUGAUGUGUAAUGUUUCACUUAGUUUCUGAAUGUUUAUUGAUGAAUUAUUAAUGUGGUGAAUGGAAUUCUUCUGAACUUGUGAAAUUUUGACUCCAUACAAAGUUUAAUGUUGGUGCGGGAAAAAUUAAUUUUCCUUGUUUUUGUUGUAUAUGUGGAUUUAUUUUUAGGGUUAGUUUUAGAGAAUCCCAAAAGUCUUAGAAUUCAUUGUUUAUUGUGACAGUUAAAAGUCUGAAGUCAUAUGUAUUUGGGGAAUGGCAUGGUCUUUAGUAUUAUGGUUAUGAGAACCCAUAAAUAGAUGACCCCGAACAGUUGGGUCAAGAAUUGAUAGUUAUGGUUAUGGCUAUGGUACAUUCAAUAUUGUGGAGGUUACGCUGAUCAGGAGUUCUGUGUCAAGUCAAAUUAUGUUGAAAGGGACAAAGGGCCAUAAUAGGCAAGAUGAAACCUAAAGACUAGGAACUAGGAAGCAUUAUUUUCAUGUUGCUUUGGUGUCUCUGGAAAUGAAUCUGUGUAGAUCAUUGUAUUUUGUAAAAUAUAUGGAUUAUUUAGAGUGAAUUUAUCUCUUAAGAUUCCAUAUAUAUAUAUAUAUAUGAUAUAUCUCUUCUAUUCUUCUUCUUGCUCUUGCUUCUCUUCUUAUAUAUCAACUUCUUAUCAACCACCACACGUAAAACCCCCCAGUGGUUCACAUAUGAGCUGGUAUAUACAUAUUGCCCCAGGUACAAAUAUCAACUUCAUGCAGAGACUGAUCUGAAUGAAAAUGUGCAAGUCAAAAACAAGAAUUGCGAAAGGCCAUUUGUACAUUGAUCUAGCUCUCUGUCUCAAGAAAUUGACAAUAUACCAAAUCUGAAUGAACAUUCAGAAGACACAAUUUGGAUAUAAAUGCUUUUUAUAGACAUACUUUUUUGCAUAAGUUUGGAAGUGCAUACAUCAUAUUUGAUAUAUUAUACCACUGAAAGAUGAUCUGCAACAUGUUGGCUUGAUGGAAUCUCCCAUAGAUGGAUGAAUCUGUAUAGUUCAUAUUAGAAACUUUAAGUAAUGGUCCCUGGAAGCUGGCUUCCGUCUCUGAAAGUUUUGAGCUGUUAUGGAAAUGAAUGCAGCAAUACACUGCUCUGGAUUACUCUAAAAUAUAUAAAUAUGCCAAGAACUCGUGCUCUACGAACAAGGCAUCAUAUAGGGGUUUGUCUGUUAAGUAAUUUUGUACUUUAUAUAUACUCACUCCAUAUACAGGGACAUAUGAACUAUCAAGCAUUUCAGCUCGUCAGGACUUUAAGAGUAUGCCAUAGAUACAUUAGAAAAACAUGCUAUACACCCUUGUCUAGUGAUGGGAGUAAGGAAUCACAAAUCUACAACCAAAACAAGUUCAUCUUAUGUAUCAAGUAUGUAGAGUAGAGGGAGUAAUAUGGACAACUUGUUGCGUUCAUGUAUAUUUCUUCAUGUAGCUAUCUGUCAUUUGUGGUUGCUAUUAUGAAUGUGCAAAUGUAGUUAUAAACUGACAAAGUUUUUCUUGCAUUGUAGAGAAACAAUUUACCAGCUGUCCGACAAUAUCUGGAAACUUUUGCAAUACAGAUAUUCUUAAAAUUUCCACUACUGGUAAGAAGCUGGAUCAUUCUCUGACUAUUUUAUUGCCUUUUGAGGAAAUCCCACAAUUUCUGGUUUUGAUAAAUCACAUGUACUGAUUGACCUGGUGUUAUCUGUUCCUAUGAUGUUUUAAAAAAUUUUUGUUUAAAGCGUAGUUUCGUUAUGGAAGUUGUAAUAUGCUGUUUAAUAAUUAUUGUCAUUUUGUGUGUAUUAUGCAUGGGAACAUGUUGAACUGAUUGCUGUGUUUCUAUUGGUUUGUAAAAAUCAUUUUCAUGCUCCACUAUUUUCUUUUGCAAAUUUUGUUCAUUGAUAUCCAAAAAGCUUGCCAUGGCCCGCUUGACAAUGUUCGCAUUCUUCCUAAUUGCUUAGGAGGCAAAGAUUCUGCCACAAAACACGUUAACAUAAUAGGAGGAUGAAUUUUUCUCACCUUCUAAUUUCUCUGUGCUACUUGAAUUGAAGAUUUGUGUUAUAAUCAUAUUUCUAGCAAGAGCAUUAGAAGGUAAAUGGAGCGUAAGGAGAAACAGAUCGUAAUCGAGUCAGUAUCACUACCAAGCUAUUGGGUCAAGUGUCUAAUAUUAACAUCAUAUUAUUUAACCACGUUUCACAUAUACAAUGCUUUACACCCAAAUUACAACCUUCUAUAAACUGGGUGGAGUUGAAGUUAAACCAAAUUUGAGAUGGAAGUAACCAAAAGAAGAUGAGUAGGGAGAAGCCGGGGAAAAUUUUGUGGAAGGUUUGGUAUUGAAUGUCAUCUUAAUCCAACAGACAAUAAUAAGGCCAUGAUAAAUUCGUGCAUUCAUUGGGCUGGCUUUGUUUAUAGUGCAUGGAAUAGGUCUAUUCACGCUAAAAAAGCUAAGCUCAAACCUAGCUUGAAGUAUAUUUGAUCCUAAUGAAGUAGCCAAACCUGUGGUCCAUGUCUUGGAAUUGUGAUAUCUAACCUUAAUUUCAUUUGUUGAUGAAAUCCAACCAUGUCAAACUAGCUGCUCAACAACCUAAUCUCGUCCAUUGUAGUUGAGCUAGUUAGCCAUCGCAUAUCUAGAUCACAAGAUUGCAACCUAGGAUAUGCUAACGCCUUGUAAGUUAAGUUGAAAGUCAUGCAAGUCAUGAAAGCUGGCAAAUUUUGGUUAACCACUAAUCAUGUAACCUAUGUAUCCCACUUGCAUAGCUACAAAUAACCUCCAUGAAAUUUAACUACUAAGUACAUCAUAAGAAGUCACUUCCUCUGGAAUGAAAGCCAUUCUAUUUACCCCACUUUCCAAUCCCACUAUACCAAAUUCUCUACUCCAAUUAAAAGAAAAUGUAAACCAAAUGAUUGAGAUGUAGUUGUACAGCUAAAGGUAUGCAUAGUUAUUGGUGAAGAACGGCCUUUGUUCUUAUAAUAUCUCAAGAAAAAUAAAGUUGAUUUACAAAACUAUAGGGAACCUUCUACGACUUAAAUUUUUGAGCCACACUUAAAUUAUGGAUAUGUUUGGUUGACCAAAGAUUAAGAUAGGCAAUAAAACAUAUUUAAGAGAUUUAGGCCAUGUAGGUCAACUGCCCAAGUGAGUUUUUUGGCUAUAAAAAAUGGUGUAGAUAUUUAAGGAGAGAAGGAAAUUGUACAUGGUUUAUAUUGAGCUAGAGUAAGUGACAAAUUAUCUACCAUUUAAGGUCUUCUCAUGGGCUUGGAAGAAGAUUAUGUGCAAAACUACAUGGAUGCCAUUAAAGAGGUGCAUAAGAGUGCACAAACGAGUAUCUGAAUCAAGGAUUGAUAUACUGAGGAUCAAACCAUACUGACCGAGGGUGGAUUUGAUAUUCAUGGAACCAACGAUCGUACCAAUAAGGGAUAUUGAUAGGAUGCAUAGACACACCUCAAACACCUCUGUUAAGACCUGUUUUGUCCUCCAAACUCUAAUUUUGUGUUUCUUAUUAUGUUUUCUAGCCCAAAUGCUAUAUUUUUGCCUUGAUUACCAGUAGUGGUUCAGGUGCAGAUAUGGGAAGCGAGUCUUGCAAAAUAGUUAGUAAGCUUAAAAAGUGGGUCCAAGAAUAAGUUUACAAGGAGUUUGGUAGUAGGUUCGCUAUCCUAAUUGGAAGAUUUCCGCUACUAUGGUAAUGUGACUAUCAAGUUAAGUAGCCUAGUUAUGGUUUCCUCUACUGUAGGAUUAAGAAGCAUGCAUAUUUAUCACAUAAAUAAUGCAUCAUACAUUAUUUGAAUUACAUAUAUGACAUAUAAAUGUAUAAAUAGCAUUUGAAAACAAUUAGAUUACUAGAAAUUAUAAUUCGGUAUAGAAGUGGUGUACCAAAAGUUACAACUAAUAGAUUGAUGUGCACUAAAGAAGUCUAGAUUUUUAUAGACGAGGUAGAAGUGCAAGUGUAAUUAUCUAACACUUUCAAGCAUGAUCUGCCGUAUCGCCCCGUAUCGGGCUGUAUGGGACGUACCAUACCAUCCCGGGCAGUAUGAGACGUACCAUACCGUACCGGUACGAAACUCAAUUUCAAGUCGCUACAAGCCACGCACCACUCCGUAUCGAGGCGUAUUGAGGUGCAUACUGGUCUGUACCAAGGCGUACCGAUCUGUAUCGACGCGUACCGAAAUAAAAAUUGAGAAAAAUGAUUAGAGAGCUAUUUCGGUAUACGGGUAUAUUGUACCAUACCGAACCGAUAAGGUGCCGAUACAGUAUUCAGUACUGAGAUUGCGAAUAUUGCUUUCAGGCAAAGUCGACGGAACCGUUCCGAACCGUCCGGUUUGGGGCAUCUCGAGUCGUACCAGCGGCGGAUCAGGACGGUUCCGAUAAAGAAACCGAGAUGCCAUUGCCCUCCCUCUCCCUCUCUCUCCCCAGCUUGCUAUCUUUUUUCCUCUUUGCCACGGUCUCCUGUGUCGGUGCAGGCCCAGCACGAUGCGAGCCCAUACUG